UACGUAGGUGGCAAGCGUUGUCCGGAAUUAUUGGGCGUAAAGCGCGCGCAGGCGGUCCUUUAAGUCUGAUGUGAAAUCUCGCGGCUCAACCGCGAGCGGUCAUUGGAAACUGGGGGACUUGAGUACAGAAGAGGAGAGCGGAAUUCCACGUGUAGCGGUGAAAUGCGUAGAGAUGUGGAGGAACACCAGUGGCGAAGGCGGCUCUCUGGUCUGUAACUGACGCUGAGGCGCGAAAGCGUGGGGAGCGAAC
RNAcentral lists this ribosomal RNA (250 nucleotides) under uncultured bacterium. RNAcentral describes it as "partial 16S ribosomal RNA". It matches the Rfam family "Bacterial small subunit ribosomal RNA", at positions 524 to 773 of the family's 1533-position model. The record is from RNAcentral.